RNAcentral lists this microRNA precursor (61 nucleotides) under Capitella teleta. Its description in RNAcentral is "Cte-Mir-10-P3_pre stem-loop". Lineage: Eukaryota; Metazoa; Annelida; Polychaeta; Capitellidae. The record is from RNAcentral.
UCCCUGAGACCCUAACUUGUGAAGCUUUCUAAAAAGAUCGCGAGUUAGAAUCUUGGGCUCU